This 478-nucleotide ribosomal RNA is filed under the name Boana raniceps (Chaco treefrog). RNAcentral describes it as "partial large subunit ribosomal RNA". It matches the Rfam family "Bacterial large subunit ribosomal RNA", at positions 1926 to 2555 of the family's 2925-position model. The record is from RNAcentral. Lineage: Eukaryota; Metazoa; Chordata; Amphibia; Anura; Hylidae.
AACGGCCGCGGUAUCCUAACCGUGCGAAGGUAGCGUAAUCACUUGUUCUUUAAAUGAGGACUAGUAUGAAUGGCACCACGAGGGUUAAACUGUCUCCUUUUUUUAAUCAGUGAAACUAAUCUCCCCGUGAAGAAGCGGGGAUUCUUUUAUAAGACGAGAAGACCCUAUGGAGCUUUAAACAAGUUAACACCUGCUACUAAUCUUCACUUUCCUGAAUCACCACAUUAAGUAUAGCACCUCUGAUUAACAGUUUUCGAUUGGGGUGAUCAUGGAGCAAAAAUCAACCUCCACGACGAAAAGGAACACCUCCUUGAGCCAAAAGCUACAACUUUAAGCACUAAAAAACUAACGCACUUUGACCCAAUUCUUUGAGCAACGAACCAAGUUACCCUAGGGAUAACAGCGCAAUCCACUUUAAGAGCCCCUAUCGACAAGUGGGUUUACGACCUCGAUGUUGGAUCAGGGUAUCCCAGUGGUG